This 483-nucleotide ribosomal RNA is filed under the name uncultured bacterium. Its description in RNAcentral is "partial 16S ribosomal RNA". It matches the Rfam family "Bacterial small subunit ribosomal RNA", at positions 355 to 829 of the family's 1533-position model. The record is from RNAcentral.
UGGGGAAUAUUGCACAAUGGGCGCAAGCCUGAUGCAGCCAUGCCGCGUGUGUGAAGAAGGCCUUCGGGUUGUAAAGCACUUUCAGCGAGGAGGAAGGCAUUAAGGUUAAUAACCUUAGUGAUUGACGUUACUCGCAGAAGAAGCACCGGCUAACUCCGUGCCAGCAGCCGCGGUAAUACGGAGGGUGCAAGCGUUAAUCGGAAUUACUGGGCGUAAAGCGCACGCAGGCGGUUUGUUAAGUCAGAUGUGAAAUCCCCGAGCUUAACUUGGGAGCUGCAUUUGAAACUGGCAAGCUAGAGUCUUGUAGAGGGGGGUAGAAUUCCAGGUGUAGCGGUGAAAUGCGUAGAGAUCUGGAGGAAUACCGGUGGCGAAGGCGGCCCCCUGGACAAAGACUGACGCUCAGGUGCGAAAGCGUGGGGCAGCAAACAGGAUUAGAUACCCUGGUAGUCCACGCUGUAAACGAUGUCGACUUUGGAGGUUGUG